This 243-nucleotide long non-coding RNA is filed under the name Pomacea canaliculata. Its description in RNAcentral is "uncharacterized LOC112569186". The record is from RNAcentral. Lineage: Eukaryota; Metazoa; Mollusca; Gastropoda; Architaenioglossa; Ampullariidae.
GAUGACAACCAAAGGGCAGCAACUCUGUACAGUGGAUUUUAUAACCAGAAAGGAACGAGAGGCUACUUCUCAGAAUCUCUCUUCAAUUGAUGUCCCACAAGCGAUUAGAAGACCCAGACAUAUGACGAUAGAGGCUACUUCUCGAAAUCUCUCUACAAGGUGAUCCAACGAGGGUACAAAGACUCAGAUGUGUGACAGUGGACGUCAUUGGGAGUUUACCAAUAAAGGAAUGAAAAACCGAAA